AUAUUGGACAAUGGGCGAAAGCCUGAUCCAGCAAUACCGCGUGUGUGAAGAAGGCCUUAGGGUUGUAAAGCACUUUCAAUUGGGAGGAAAACCUACCGGUCAAUACCCGGUAGCUUGACAUUACCUUUAGAAGAAGCACCGGCUAACUCCGUGCCAGCAGCCGCGGUAAUACGGAGGGUGCGAGCGUUAAUCGGAAUUACUGGGCGUAAAGCGUGCGUAGGCGGUUCGUUAAGUCAGAUGUGAAAGCCCUGGGCUCAACCUGGGAACGGCAUUUGAAACUGGCGGACUAGAGUUUAGUAGAGGGGAGUGGAAUUUCAGGUGUAGCGGUGAAAUGCGUAGAUAUCUGAAGGAACACCAGUGGCGAAGGCGACUCCCUGGACUAGAACUGACGCUGAGGUACGAAAGCGUGGGUAGCAAAC
This 419-nucleotide ribosomal RNA is filed under the name uncultured bacterium. RNAcentral's name for it is "bacterial SSU rRNA". It matches the Rfam family "Bacterial small subunit ribosomal RNA", at positions 361 to 773 of the family's 1533-position model. The record is from RNAcentral.